GACGAACGCUGGCGGCGUGCUUAACACAUGCAAGUCGAACGGAAAGGCCCUGCUUUUGUGGGGUUCUCGAGUGGCGAACGGGUGAGUAACACGUGAGUAACCUGCCCUUGACUUUGGGAUAACUUCAGGAAACUGGGGCUAAUACCGGAUAGGAGCUCCUGCUGCAUGGUGGGGGUUGGAAAGUUUCGGCGGUUGGGGAUGGACUCGCGGCUUAUCCGCUUGUUGGUGGGGUAGUGGCUUACCAAGGCUUUGACGGGUAGCCGGCCUGAGAGGGUGACCGGCCACAUUGGGACUGAGAUACGGCCCAGACGCCUACGGGAGGCAGCAGUGGGGAGUAUUGCACAAUGGGCGGAAGCCUGAUGCAGCAACGCCGCGUGCGGGAUGACGGCCUUCGGGUUGUAAACCGCUUUCGCCUGUGACGAAGCGUGAGUGACGGUAAUGGGUAAAGAAGCACCGGCUAACUACGUG
This 468-nucleotide ribosomal RNA is filed under the name uncultured bacterium. Its description in RNAcentral is "partial 16S ribosomal RNA". It matches the Rfam family "Bacterial small subunit ribosomal RNA", at positions 28 to 507 of the family's 1533-position model. The record is from RNAcentral.